AUAAUAUAUAAAUUGAUGAUGUUGAUGGUCAUGGUGGUUCUUUAAUAAAUAAUUUGAAUGUCUCAGUAAUGGGCUGCAAUUUUAAAAGAAUAAGAUAAAUUAUACCCACAAACUCCCAAUCUUUCCUGAAACAUUGCAAUCUGAAACCCUAUUGUAGGAAGCAGAAGAUUCCAGGAGACAUUCUACAAAUGAAGGACUCUAAACCCUGUGGUUGGAUAAGGAAUUCUGGAAGGAAGAUAUCCUCACCCAAGGAGAGCAGGAUUCCAGGAAAAAGGCCUGGGCUGCGGCCACAGUGGGCGGGGCCCCCAGGCCGGGCCGCCUCUCCAGGACCCCCGGAAGGGGGCUCCUGGAGGCUCCAGGCGGCUCCUCCCCCGGCGCCGCCCUCCCUCCCGGAAGGCCUCGGGGCAGAGCGGUCCCACCUCCUCGCCCAGAACGGAGCCCGCGUUUCCGCAGAGCUGGAACUCCCGGCUCGGGGUCUCUUCCCUCCGCCGUCACUGAAGUGCCCCGGAGCCCGAGGGGAGGGCGGCCUCACUGAGGCUGCCGGCUCUGGAGGGGCCCCGGCGGCCGAAGCCGCGACAGUCCUGGGGACCGCGGGCCGGUUGUUUCAGCAAGUAACUUAAAGACAAAAUGGAAAAACAAGGAGGUUUGUGCCUGAGAUCAUGUUGAGGUGAAACCAGGGAUGGCCACCUUGUGCCAGAAACAGGAAAACAAAUGCUUCUUAUGGAAUCAGAGAAUGUGAGGGCUGGACAAUCCCAGAAAAUGAGAAACACCCAUCCCAUUUUCCAGAUGAGAAAACAGAGGCCCAGCAAGGUGAAAUCCCUCACCCAAGUUGCACCUGUCUCUCCUCCCCACUACAUGGUUCAUGAAAGCAGGACUCUUUCUGUCUUGAUCACUGCUGAACUCCAAACAGGGCCAGGCAUCUAGCAGCUGCUUCAAAGAUUUUGGUUGGGCUUCCCUGGUGGCGCAGUGGUUGAGAAUCUGCCUGCCAAUGCAGGGGACGCGGGUUCGAGCCCUGGUCUGGGAAGAUCCCACAUGCC
RNA transcript from Eubalaena glacialis (North Atlantic right whale), 1037 nucleotides. RefSeq lists it as uncharacterized. The transcript has 4 exons. Lineage: Eukaryota; Metazoa; Chordata; Mammalia; Artiodactyla; Balaenidae. The record is from RefSeq and is a predicted model, not a curated record.